RNAcentral lists this ribosomal RNA (74 nucleotides) under Verbena bipinnatifida. Its description in RNAcentral is "Glandularia bipinnatifida partial 28S ribosomal RNA". Lineage: Eukaryota; Viridiplantae; Streptophyta; Magnoliopsida; Lamiales; Verbenaceae. The record is from RNAcentral.
CGCGCAACUGUCGUGCAACGGCGUCGUCCGUACGGGCAUCACAACGACCCGAUGCUCAUGUUGCGCCAGCGACC